This 1316-nucleotide long non-coding RNA is filed under the name Cyanistes caeruleus (blue tit). RNAcentral describes it as "lncRNA (ENSCCEG00000003272.1)". The record is from RNAcentral. Lineage: Eukaryota; Metazoa; Chordata; Aves; Passeriformes; Paridae.
UGCUGGCCUCAAACUCCACCCCCACCUGCAGCUGGAAACACCUGGGGGGUCUCACCUGCCCCAGACCCCUCCCCAAAUUCCAAACCCCCAAAUUCCCAAAUUUUCCUGAAUUUUCCCGAAUUUUUUUCCCAUUUUUUUCCAUUUUUUAGUGAUUUUUUCCCAAUUUUUGGGUUUUUUUCCCAAUUUUUGGGAGCCCCACCUGCAGCUGGAAACACCUGGGGGGUCUCACCUGCCCCAGACCCCUCCCCAAAUUCCAAACCCCCCAAUUCCCAAAUUUUCCUGAAUUUUCCCCAAUUUUUUCCCAUUUUUUCCUGAUUUUUUAGCGAUUUUUAGCAAUUUUUUCCCAUUUUUUGAUGAUUUUUUCCCAAUUUUGGGGUUUUUUCCCCCAUUUUUAACAGCUGGAAACACCUGGGGGGUCUCACCUGCCCCAGACCCCUCCCCAAAUUCCAAACCCCCAAAUUCCCAAAUUUCCCUGAAUUUUCCCGAAUUUUUUUCCCAUUUUUUUCCAUUUUUUAGUGAUUUUUUCCCAAUUUUUGGGUUUUUUUCCCAAUUUUUGGGAGCCCCACCUGCAGCUGGAAACACCUGGGGGGUCUCACCUGGCCUGGGACCCCUCCCCAAAUUCCAAACCCCCAAAUUCCCAAAUUUUCCCAUUUUUUCCCCAAUUUUUUCCCAUUUUUUCCUGAUUUUUUAGCGAUUUUUAGCAAUUUUUUCCCAUUUUUUGAUGAUUUUUUCCCAAUUUUGGGGUUUUUUCCCCCAUUUUUAACAGCUGGAAACACCUGGGGGGGUCUCACCUGCCCCAGACCCCUCCCCAAAUUCCAAACCCCCAAAUUCCCAAAUUUUCCUGAAUUUUCCCGAAUUUUUCCCAAUUUUUUUCCCAUUUUUUUGCGAUUUUUUAGUGAUUUUUUGCAAUUUUUUCCCAUUUUUUGGGGUUUUUUCCCCAUUUUUGGGAGCCCCACCUGCAGCUGGAAACACCUGGGGGGUCUCACCUGCCCUGGGACCCCUCCCCAAAUUCCAAACCCCCACAUUCCCAAAUUUUCCUGAAUUUUCCCAAAUUUUUCCCCAUUUUUUUAGCAAUUUUUUCCCAUUUUUAAACAAUUUUUUCCCAAUUUUUGGGGGUUUUUCCCCAUUUUUGGGGUGUCCAGGUGUGUUUCAGGUGUCCCCAGGUGUAUUUUGGUGUCCCCAGGUGUAUUUUUGGGGUGUCCAGGUGCGUUUUUGGGGUGUCCAGGUGUGUUUUUGGUGUCCCCAGGUGUGUUUUUGGGGUGUCCAGGUGUAUUUUGGGGUGUCCAGGUGUGUUUUUGGGGUGUCCAGGUGCAUUU